RNAcentral lists this long non-coding RNA (2347 nucleotides) under Homo sapiens (human). Its description in RNAcentral is "HSALNT0348503". Lineage: Eukaryota; Metazoa; Chordata; Mammalia; Primates; Hominidae. The record is from RNAcentral.
CCCAAUUUUAAAAUGGGCAAAGGACUUGAACAGACAUUUUCCAAAGAGGGUGUACAAAUGACCAAGAAGCACAUGAAAAGAUGUUCAGUAUCUUUAGUCAUUAGGGAAAGGCAAAUCAAAACCACAAUGAGCCUGGGUGAGGUGGCUCAUACCUGUAAUUCCAGCACUUAGGGAGGCUGAGGCAGGUGGAUCACUUGAGGUCAGGAGUUCGAGAACAGCCUGGCCAACAUGGUGAAACCCUAUCUCUACUAAAAAUACAAAAAUUAGCGGGGUUUGAUGGUGCAUGCCUGUAUUCCCAGCUACUCAGGAGGCUGAGGCAGGAGAAUCACUUCAACCUGAGAAAUGGAGGUUGCAGUGAGCCGAGAUCACACCUCUGUACUCCAGCCUUGGCAACAGAGCGAGCCUCUGUCUCAAAAAAAGAAAAACAAAACAAAACAAAAAAACCACAGUGAGAUACCACUUCAUAUCCAUUAGGAUGGCUAGAAUUUUUUUUAUAUAACAAGUGUUAGCAAGGACAUGGAGAAAUUGAAACUCUUGUACAUUGCUGGUGGGAAUGUAAAAUGGUGCAGCCACUGUGGAAAGCAGUGUGAUGGUUCCUCAAAAAGUUAAGCAUAGAAUUACCAUAUAACCCCAAGUCCCACUGCUAGGUAUAUACUAAAAUAUUUGAAAAUGGGUAUUUAUUUAUUUAUUUAUUAAAUGAGGCAGGAUCUUGCUCUGUUGCCCAGGCUGGGGUUCAGUGUUAUGAUCAUAGUUCACUGCAGCCUUGAACUUCUGGGCUCAGGCCGUCCUCCCGCCUAAGCCUCUUGAGUAGCUGGGACUACAGGCACAUGCCACUAUGUCUUGCUAAUUUUUUAAAUUGUUUAGAGUGGGUGUUUGUGUGGCGGGGGUCUCACUAUGUUGCUCAAGCUUGUCUCUAACUCCUAAUCUCAAGCAGUCCUCCUGACAUGGACUUCCAAAGUGCUGGGAUUACAGGUUUGAGCCACUGUGCCGGCCUGAAAAUAGGUAUUUAAACAAAUACUUAUAUGUGCAUGUUCAUAGCAGCACUAUUUACAAUGGCCAAAAAUGUACAAACAACUCAAAUAUCCAUCAGCAAAUAAAUGCAUAAACCAAAUAUGGCAUAUACAUACCUACUUCCCCCCAAUGGCUCCUCCUAUCCCUCAGUAGAUUUGAUGUUCUCUCAUUUGUGACUUCAGAGUAUAUUCCACAGCUUAAGCUUUAGUACCCAACUUGUUUGUGGCCAGAAGAGGUCAGUGUCCCUCUUCUAACCUCUGAGCUGCUUCCCAUGUAGUGAUUGUAUCUCGUUCAUUAAUACAUCCCUAGUACAUGGCACAUACUAAACACUAAAAAUACUUAUUGAACAAAUUAAUUUAUUUUGUCCUAUUUCAGAUCCCAUAUAGAAUUAUAUAUUGCACAUCAUUUAUAUGUCAAAUGCUUAUAUUGUACUUUUCUGUUUUUGUUCUUUCAUUUUUGCCUCUCUUGCUCAUCAGAUUAUAAAGUAUCCCAGGACAGUGCUCUGUAACCAGCCCAUAGUAGCUACUGCUAUUUUACCAGCUACUGUAUCUUUCCUUCUUUGAUUUCCAGCACCUGACAGUGAAAAGAGCAAUUUGAAGAAAAACAAAAUUUAUCUUCAAUGUGAAAAGCAAUUUAUAAAAAUCCGAAUACUUGCCAGGAGCAACUUGACAAAAAAGACAAAGGUGGUAGAAGAAAUGUAACCAGCCCACAAUUCCAAUGUUGAUAACAGAUGAGCUCCCUUUCAAGGUGACUGACAUUUACACAAGUACACAGAGCAAGAAGAAGGUCUGAGUGAACUGCCAAGCAUUUUAACUUCUCCUGAGACCAAGUACAUCAACAGUUCUCUUGGAAAAGAACAACUGAUUUGGGAGUCUAGCAGACUGCCAGCUGCAAGACAUUCAUCCAGCAUCAGGAACACAAUGGGCCUUCAUUUGCCUGCCUUUCUGAGGGCACCAAUCAAAAGGAGUCUACUCCUAUGUAAAUCUUCUGCAGGUUGUGCAGUGGACUUCACCUAGUCUCCCAUCUCCAGCUAAUUUGGCCAAGAAUAGUCACCUGGCGCAAGGUGGGGAGGGAGCUCUCAAUUGGCCAGCAACUUCUGACGUGUGACCUGACUGAACAAUGAGAGGCUCGAGUGAAAUUACCAGCUGGUAGUAGGACAGAGGAUAUAGAUACAUGGAAUGGAGCUGAGCCAAAUUAAUGACAAAGGACUAGACAAGAAUGACUGUUGAUGAUCACCUAUGCUGAGAUCACAAAGCUGCCCCGAGUCCAGAAGCAGGUUCACUGAGGGAGGCUCAACCAUGUUACCAAUCUUGUUUGAGAUUAAUGUUCCUUGUUG